UGAACGCUGACGGAAUGCUUAACACAUGCAAGUCAACCGGGACCUUUCUUCGGAGAGUAAACGGUGGCGGACGGGUGAGUAACGCGUGAGAAACUUGCCCCAUAGACCGGGAUAACCAUUUGAAAAGAUGGCUAAUACCAGAUAAGCCCACAUUACCGCAUGGUAGAGAGGGAAAAUGAAUGCGCUAUGGGAGAGUCUCGCGUCCUAUUAGCUAGUUGGUGAGGUAAUGGCUCACCAAGGCGACGAUAGGUAGCCGGCCUGAGAGGGUGAACGGCCACAAGGGAACUGAGACACGGUCCUUACUCCUACGGGAGGCAGCAGUGGGGAAUAUUGGACAAUGGGGGAAACCCUGAUCCAGCAAUUCCGCGUGUAUGAUGAAGGCUUUCGAGUUGUAAAGUACUUUCAAUGGGGAAGAAGAAAAUGACGGUACCCAUAGAAGAAGCACCGGCUAAUUAC
Molecule: ribosomal RNA, 456 nt
Filed under: uncultured bacterium
Lineage: Bacteria
Description: bacterial SSU rRNA
Rfam family: Bacterial small subunit ribosomal RNA
Source: RNAcentral